CAUAGUGAGUCUGGGGACCCAAGAUCUUAUUUUCCUUUCUGUCACCCCCGCUUGGUUUUGGAUUCCGUGACAGCUGGACCCGGCUUCUGCGUGGACAUAAUUGGAGACACUGGUUAUUUUACCAAAGCUUUGACCGGAAGGAUGUACUUUUGGAUACAAACAGACUGCUUUAAGGAGUCAAAGCUGACUUAUGAAGUUGGCCUCAUCCCUUGUCUACACAGUCACUGUACAGAGUUCCUUGCCUGUAGUAUGUAAAGAAUGUCACUUUCUGACAGGCUCAGGAGCCCCAAAUUAUCCUGGGACCUUGAGGAGAGGACAUUGCCCAAUUUAUAUAGGUAUUUUCAGGCACCAAUAAAUCAUGGCUGGGCUCAAGGCUUUAAAAAAAGUCAAAUCUGGGAUUCGUUAUAGAAUAAAGUUCCAGCAAAGCCAAUUUUAAGACAGGCCUAUAUGGCAAAUAAUUAUUCGUGCUGACAUUAUGCAAACACUCAGGCCAAGUAUAAGAUGAAAAAUUAUUUUAAAUAAAUUUGUCCUACUAUGAUUUGUCUUCAGUAAAAACAGGUACUGGGCUGGGCAUGGUGGCUCACAGCUGUAAUCCCAGCACACUGGGAGGCCAAGGCAGGCAGAUCGCUUGAGGUCAGGAGUUUGAGACCAGCCUGGCCAACAUGGUGGUGAAACACCAUCUCUACCAAAAAAUAUAAAAAUUAGCCAGGUGUGGUGGCAUGUGUCUGUAAUCCUAGCUACCCAGGAGGCUGAGGCAUGAGAAUUGCUUGAACCCAGGAGGUGGAGCUUGCCUGAGUCCUGGUAAGGCACAGACAGAAAGGGUUGUCAGCCAUUUUUUUCUGAGGUUAUAAGAUCUGCAACUUCCCCAGUUAUUC
Homo sapiens (human) is the source of this 875-nucleotide long non-coding RNA. Ensembl annotates it as LY6E divergent transcript. Its record names the gene LY6E-DT. The record is from Ensembl. NCBI's taxonomy places the organism in Eukaryota, Metazoa, Chordata, Mammalia, Primates, Hominidae.